Molecule: long non-coding RNA, 908 nt
Organism: Microtus ochrogaster (prairie vole)
Lineage: Eukaryota; Metazoa; Chordata; Mammalia; Rodentia; Cricetidae
Exons: 5
Source: RefSeq, a predicted model, not a curated record
AGAUACCACAUCAGGAAAGAUGACCAGGAACUUCCCAGUCUUUACAACCUAAACCAUCCCCGCCUCUCAAACACUCAAGAAAUGUUUGUGCCUACGAUAAGAAAUGAACUCUCUGAAAGAAGAAAUCCUAAAACCCAGCUGGGAUCCAGAAAACAGACUCUCAGGCCCACAGACUUCCACCUGGGGCUGGAGUUCCGGCUUUAGGCGCCAUCCGGGACUCUGAGCUCCCUCCUGGGGCAGAAUCAGGACUUGAGGACCUUCUCUACAAUGACCCACAUGUUCCAUCUGCCUGGACACAGCUCCUCCAAACAACAAAUCAACUAAUCUGCGGCCUGACCUUGGCUGAUCCCUCCUGCCCGGGAAUCCCUCUCCUGUAGGAGUCUCCAGUCGAUUCAGCCAGGUUAUAGCACCCCCCCUGUGAGCUCGACGCCUGUUCACAGGGCCUGGGUGUUUGUGCCAUCUGCAUCUUGCCUUAACGGGGAACCGUUCUCGUUGUAGGCUUGAGGUGCCAUGGUUUUUGCGGGUGUUUUCAUGGCCUUGACCAUGGGAGCCAAGCCAUCCAGACCUAUCACUCCGGCUUCAUGCUUUAAUGCCUUACAGUUAUCCGUCUCUGUCCAAAUAAAUGGCCCCAUUAAAACUAUACACGGCCGUUUUUCGGUUCCAGCCUUUUGCCCCUCCCCUCUGCGACUUUUGUUGUAGCAUGACGGGCUCUCUAACAGAGCAGACUACAUGUGGUGGUUGAAGAGAAGAUCCUCGAGGUUGAAGAGAAGAUCCUCGGGUCCUGAUUCUGCCCCCGGAGGGAACUCAGAGUCCUGGCAGAACUCUGGCCCCAGGUGCGGGACGGCCCCCAACCAAGACCAGCCGCCAAGAUGGCAGGGGAGCGAGAAAGGAAGGACUGGAACUAGCUC